RNAcentral lists this ribosomal RNA (498 nucleotides) under uncultured bacterium. RNAcentral's name for it is "partial 16S ribosomal RNA". It matches the Rfam family "Bacterial small subunit ribosomal RNA", at positions 28 to 507 of the family's 1533-position model. The record is from RNAcentral.
GACGAACGCUGGCGGCGUGCCUAAUACAUGCAAGUCGAACGAGAGCGACCGGUGCUUGCACUGGUCAAUCUAGUGGCGAACGGGUGAGUAACACGUGGGUAACCUGCCCAUCAGAGGGGGAUAACAUCCGGAAACGGAUGCUAAAACCGCAUAGGUCUUCGAGCCGCAUGGCUUGAAGAGGAAAAGAGGCGCAAGCUUCUGCUGAUGGAUGGACCCGCGGUGCAUUAGCUAGUUGGUGAGGUAACGGCUCACCAAGGCCGUGAUGCAUAGCCGACCUGAGAGGGUGAUCGGCCACAUUGGGACUGAGACACGGCCCAAACUCCUACGGGAGGCAGCAGUAGGGAAUCUUCCGCAAUGGACGCAAGUCUAACGGAGCAACGCCGCGUGAGUGAAGAAGGUUUUCGGAUCGUAAAACUCUGUUGUUAGAGAAGAACAAGUGCUAGAGUAACUGUUAGCGCCUUGACGGUAUCUAACCAGAAAGCCACGGCUAACUACGUG